RNAcentral lists this unclassified non-coding RNA (388 nucleotides) under uncultured Chytridiomycota. RNAcentral's name for it is "sequence contains ITS1". The stretch from base 1 to 105 matches the Rfam family "5.8S ribosomal RNA", at positions 50 to 154 of the family's 154-position model. Lineage: Eukaryota; Fungi; Chytridiomycota. The record is from RNAcentral.
GAAAUGCGAUAAGUAAUGUGAAUUGCAGAAUUCCGUGAAUCAUUAAAUCUUUGAACGCACAUUGCGCCCUCUGGUAUUCCUAAGGGCAUGCCUGUUUGAGAAUCAGUUUAAUCAUCAAGGCCUCUUUGUAGGGAAAUGGUUGCUUGGCUUAAUCGCCAGAUACCCUUUUUCCGCUGGGAACUUGGACCUGGGACUUGUCGAUAGACUGUCUCUAAUGCCAUCUGUUGCGACUCUAUAGCGAGACUAUACGAAAAGCAUGACCAUUGAACGCAAGUUCUCUGAUUGCUCGUAGUAUCCUUGAACUAUAGACUAGUACAAAAUUAAACACGAAGACUAACCCUCUUUAAGACUUGAUCUCAAAUCAGACAAGACUACCCGCUGAACUUAA